CUUAUUAAAAACAGAAUAUUGCCUACAUCACAUAAAGGGCAAACUCCUCCCUCACUUGGUCACAGAAGCAAUUACAGCAUUGUCUGUAGUACAUAGCCCAUGGCCUCUAACCACAGUGAUGGCCACACUUGGUGAUGUGCAACUCAGUGGGGCCUACAGGGGCCCAGCUGACAUAGACAUCACAAAGGAGUUUGAACCAGGACUCAGAAAUAGGGUCUCUGGGGGCUUUAAAAAAGCUGUUUAAGAGAAAAAGCAGAGAGACUGUAGUGAUUGUCAAGUGCAAGGAGUUCUGCAUUCCAGACAAACAAAUGCAGUGUGCAGAAAACAGAGUGGCAAGGGAAUCCCCUCAGCACAAGGGGACAGAGGCAGAUAGGCAAAAAGGUAAUUACUACACGUCUGCCUUUCAUGAAAGGCAGUCUGCCCUCCUUAGUGUGGCUUGGAACUUCAAUUCUGGCUACCAGGAUACAGAGGUGGAGGAAGAGAAGGCUGAACACCAUCCCCCUCUCCCAACACACACCCUUGAGGCAAGAAAGAUAUCAAGUUCUCAUUUUGUUGCAAGAAAACUACAUUCUCCUUUUGAUAAUAAGCAAAAAAAUACUUCUAUAUUUUUCAAAUAGUAGCUGGUCGGAACUGUUCCAAACCCAGAGAAAAAGCAAUAAACACUGAAAUCCCCUGGCGGUCCCUGAGUUGAAGAUGUAGGCAAGAAGUAUUCCAUAUCUUCAAGGUUUUUAGGGAGAAGCAAGAAAACGGUAGAGGAAGGGUAGAGGAGGCCUCCCAGGAGGCCUGGGAGUGACGUGGACCCGUCCUAUGAAAGCUGGAACCUUUAGGCAACAGAAUCAGGAGAUGCUGACUUUAAAUUUAAAUUACCUUGCUGAAAAGGAUUGGCCCAACACAGUACAAGCAGCAGUCUUUGGAAUGAAUGCAUCUUUUACUGACCUAUGCCUCUCUUUCAGAGGUCACGGCUGUCUUCACCCUCUUCUUUGCAUGUAUCUCAAGCCUAUGUAAUUAACACCAAUAUUUUUACUGCACAUUUGAGAAAGGAGACUAAGGGCAUCAAAAGACAUGGCAGUGCUGGGACUUGGCUUCAGAAAUGCACUUUGCUCAAGGAAAUUCUCUGAGCCGCCAGUACAAACAGAGAUGGUGAUGCACUUCAAAAGUUAUAGCAGAAAAUAGAGAUGAGCCAGUAAGAUAACUGCAUAAUUGCACCCUAUAGGAGAAGAUCCUUAAGGGGAAAAAGAUGGACCCCUAUAGAUACAGAACAGCUUGAGGCAUCAUGCUGCAAGACAUCCCAGCAAUGAAAACUGAAGAAGAGAAUGGCAGUAGCCUGCAAUGGUCAAGAAGAGAAGGAAGUGUUCACCUAAGUGUGACGCUGAGGUAGUUGGAGCACAGAAGGUGACACUGAUUAUGAAGAUUUCCCAAUAAAGAGCUGGCUACAGUGAAAAGAGCCCUAGUUUUCAACUUUCAUUUUAUCUCAUCUACAUUGUCUAUGCUGACCCACACAUCAAGCUUCAGAAGUAGAUCCUGGAUGCCUAUUUUUUAGGAAAAUAAGUUAAAAGUUACAGCUUACUCAAGUGCAGUUCUUCAAUGUCCAUACUCUUUGCACUACCCUGGGCUUACACCAGGAAUUCAGAUAAGCAUGGGCUGUCUGCUUAUGUGCAGGGAUGUACUGGUCUCAAGUCAGUUACCAUCUGAAAGCUAAAAAAGGGAGUCAAAAGGACCACAAAGAUGAAGCCACUUCUGACACCAAAGGAAAUGUGUCUUCUGCUCACCUUUGUAGGGGCCAGGAAAGAAAAUGUACCCCAAGUACAGAUCCAUAAUUUGGGGCCAGAGUCUCAUCUGACCCCUGUGAGAUUCUUCAUGAUCCACUCUAAAGCUUUAAGCCAGCAAAUUCGAUGUAUUUAUAAGGGAGUCAAACCACAUCACAUGUGCAAGUUCAGACAAAGAAUCUGAUGUUCGAAUC
Molecule: non-coding RNA, 1960 nt
Filed under: Pongo abelii (Sumatran orangutan)
Lineage: Eukaryota; Metazoa; Chordata; Mammalia; Primates; Hominidae
Source: RNAcentral